Molecule: transfer RNA, 63 nt
Filed under: Blaberus peruvianus
Lineage: Eukaryota; Metazoa; Arthropoda; Insecta; Blattodea; Blaberidae
Description: tRNA-Asp
Source: RNAcentral
GAAGAUUUAGUUAAAAUAUAACAUUAGAUUGUCAAGCUAAAAUUAUCAUUAAGAUAUUCUUCU